RNAcentral lists this unclassified non-coding RNA (172 nucleotides) under soil metagenome. Its description in RNAcentral is "partial internal transcribed spacer 1". The record is from RNAcentral.
CAGAGUUUGCAAACUCCCAACCAUUGUGAACCUACCUCACCGUCUGCUUCGGCGGGUGGCCCCGGGGCAACCCGGAGCCGCGCCGGCCCCCGCUCUCGGGGCCGGCAAACCCGUCAGAAGACCGAAACUCUUCGUCAUCAGUGGCCUCUCUGAGUAACUAUACAAUAAGUCA